Molecule: long non-coding RNA, 249 nt
Filed under: Marmota monax (woodchuck)
Lineage: Eukaryota; Metazoa; Chordata; Mammalia; Rodentia; Sciuridae
Source: RNAcentral
AACUCUUCUUCUGCCUCCCUCAACCACUGGGUGGCAUUCAUUCUAUGUUCUUCAAACCAGCCUCUCAUCAUACAAGCAAAGUACCAGUACUUGUCCCUGUGGACACACCAUGACUCUAACGCAGCAGCCCCUUAUAAAGCCACAACAUCUUUGGCUGGUGGGUCAGAGAGGCACCCUGCACAAGAACACCAUGAUGCCCUGCUCUCCUUUAGAAGCCACCUGCCUUUUCAUUUUUGUUUCAGCAUUUUU